AUUGAACGCUGGCGGCAUGCUUUACACAUGCAAGUCGAACGGUAACAGGCCUUCGGGUGCUGACGAGUGGCGAACGGGUGAGUAAUGCAUCGGAACGUGCCCAAUCGUGGGGGAUAACGUAGCGAAAGUUACGCUAAUACCGCAUAAGCCCUGAGGGGGAAAGUGGGGGACCGCAAGGCCUCACGCGAAUGGAGCGGCCGAUGUCAGAUUAGCUAGUUGGUGGGGUAAAGGCCCACCAAGGCGACGAUCUGUAGCGGGUCUGAGAGGAUGAUCCGCCACACUGGGACUGAGACACGGCCCAGACUCCUACGGGAGGCAGCAGUGGGGAAUAUUGGACAAUGGACGGAAGUCUGAUCCAGCCAUGCCGCGUGAAGGAAGAAGGCGCUCAGCGUUGUAAACUUCUUUUGGAUGGGAAUAAUAAUGUCGACGUGCUCGGCACUUGAAGGUACCAUCAGAAUAAGCACCGGCUAACUCCGUGCCAGCAGCC
RNAcentral lists this ribosomal RNA (487 nucleotides) under uncultured bacterium. RNAcentral's name for it is "bacterial SSU rRNA". It matches the Rfam family "Bacterial small subunit ribosomal RNA", at positions 30 to 516 of the family's 1533-position model. The record is from RNAcentral.